RNAcentral lists this ribosomal RNA (574 nucleotides) under Enterobacter hormaechei. RNAcentral's name for it is "bacterial SSU rRNA". It matches the Rfam family "Bacterial small subunit ribosomal RNA", at positions 47 to 610 of the family's 1533-position model. The record is from RNAcentral. Lineage: Bacteria; Pseudomonadati; Pseudomonadota; Gammaproteobacteria; Enterobacterales; Enterobacteriaceae.
CCUAACACAUGCAAGUCGAACGGUAACAGGAAGCAGCUUGCUGCUUCGCUGACGAGUGGCGGACGGGUGAGUAAUGUCUGGGAAACUGCCUGAUGGAGGGGGAUAACUACUGGAAACGGUAGCUAAUACCGCAUAACGUCGCAAGACCAAAGAGGGGGACCUUCGGGCCUCUUGCCAUCGGAUGUGCCCAGAUGGGAUUAGCUAGUAGGUGGGGUAACGGCUCACCUAGGCGACGAUCCCUAGCUGGUCUGAGAGGAUGACCAGCCACACUGGAACUGAGACACGGUCCAGACUCCUACGGGAGGCAGCAGUGGGGAAUAUUGCACAAUGGGCGCAAGCCUGAUGCAGCCAUGCCGCGUGUAUGAAGAAGGCCUUCGGGUUGUAAAGUACUUUCAGCGGGGAGGAAGGCGAUAAGGUUAAUAACCUUGUCGAUUGACGUUACCCGCAGAAGAAGCACCGGCUAACUCCGUGCCAGCAGCCGCGGUAAUACGGAGGGUGCAAGCGUUAAUCGGAAUUACUGGGCGUAAAGCGCACGCAGGCGGUCUGUCAAGUCGGAUGUGAAAUCCCCGGGCUC